Molecule: signal recognition particle RNA, 234 nt
Filed under: bovine gut metagenome
Description: Bacterial large signal recognition particle RNA
Rfam family: Bacterial large signal recognition particle RNA
About the family: The signal recognition particle (SRP) is a universally conserved ribonucleoprotein involved in the co-translational targeting of proteins to membranes. Archaeal SRP consists of a 7S RNA and homologues of the eukaryotic SRP19 and SRP54 proteins.
Source: RNAcentral
UGCAGCCGGGGAGUUAGCGGUGCCCUGUACCUGCAAUCCGCUAUAGCAGGGGUGAUGGUCGAUUUCGGGGUGCUUCUUGUGAGGCUGCCCCGGGUAAGUGGCGUUGAGGUUUUGGUCUUGCGCGACGGAAAUCUGUGAACCGUGUCAGGUCGGGAACGAAGCAGCACUAAGCAGAACCUUUCGGGUGCCGCAGGGGUGCCGGGGCUGAGUUAACUGCCUGGGUAACGCUUAUGA